CCAACAUACACAAAUCAGUUUUAAUUCAAAUGGAUAAGUAAAUUGAAUUCACAACUUAUGAAUCACAACUAAAAGUAAUCAAAUCAUAUUGCAAGCAUGAACAUGGUUUCGAAUUCCCUCCUAGCUAAGGGGGGUUUAGUUCCUCAUACUCACAAAGCAAAGAUAAACAAAUUUAGACAUUGCAAAUAAAAGAAUGAAAACACCUAAAAACACUCCAACAAUCCAACUUGAAUGGCAAACACGUCCAAGGGUCCUCCUUCUUCUCUUUGUUGCGGCACAAGUGUCUAGGAUGUGUAUGAAUGGUAAAUUAUGGUGGUGGAUGGAUAUAGGUCAGUUAUGGUGAAGGGUGGAUGGGUGGAUUGUGUUCUCUCGGCCAAGGAAUGAAAGUGUAAGUGUAUGGAGUUGUGAGAUGUGAAUGUAGUGUCUUUUGAUGGAUCUUUUUCUCCAUUUUCCUUGUUAUGGUGAAGGGUGGAUGUAUUUAUAGGCUAGGGAGAGGACCACCAUCUAAUUAAGGUGGUAGUGGUGUAUGUUGUGGUAAUGAGUGGAUGUAAUGGAUGUAGUGGGUGAAUGUUUGGUAAUGAGUAGAUGUAAUGGGUGUAGUGGGUGAGUGUUUGGUAAUGAGUGGAUGUAAUGGGUGUAGUGGAUGGAUGUUUGGUAAUGAGUAGAUGUAAUGGUGUAGUGGGUGAGUGUUGUGGUAAUGAGUAGAUGUAAUGGGUGUAGUGGGUGAGUGUUUGGUAAUGAGUGGAUGUAGUGGGUGAGUGGAUGUAGUGGGUGUAGUGGAUGGAUGUUUGGUAAUGAGUGGAUGUAGUGUGUGUAGU
This 818-nucleotide long non-coding RNA is filed under the name Malus domestica (apple). Its description in RNAcentral is "long non-coding RNA (MDOM_LNC015318)". Lineage: Eukaryota; Viridiplantae; Streptophyta; Magnoliopsida; Rosales; Rosaceae. The record is from RNAcentral.